Molecule: ribosomal RNA, 114 nt
Filed under: Calamus dumetosus
Lineage: Eukaryota; Viridiplantae; Streptophyta; Magnoliopsida; Arecales; Arecaceae
Description: partial 18S ribosomal RNA
Rfam family: Eukaryotic small subunit ribosomal RNA
Source: RNAcentral
UACGCGAGCGGUCCGCCGCCCGCAACGUCGCGAGAAGUCCACUGAACCUUAUCAUUUAGAGGAAGGAGAAGUCGUAACAAGGUUUUCGUAGGUGAACCUACGGAAGGAUCAUUG